RNAcentral lists this ribosomal RNA (500 nucleotides) under uncultured bacterium. Its description in RNAcentral is "partial 16S ribosomal RNA". It matches the Rfam family "Bacterial small subunit ribosomal RNA", at positions 30 to 523 of the family's 1533-position model. The record is from RNAcentral.
AUUGAACGCUGGCGGAAUGCUUUACACAUGCAAGUCGAACGGCAGCACGGGGGCAACCCUGGUGGCGAGUGGCGAACGGGUGAGUAAUACAUCGGAACGUGCCCAGUCGUGGGGGAUAACGUAGCGAAAGUUACGCUAAUACCGCAUACGAUCUACGGAUGAAAGCGGGGGACCGUAAGGCCUUGCGCGAUUGGAGCGGCCGAUGUCAGAUUAGGUAGUUGGUGAGGUAAAGGCUCACCAAGCCGACGAUCUGUAGCUGGUCUGAGAGGACGACCAGCCACACUGGGACUGAGACACGGCCCAGACUCCUACGGAAGGCAGCAGUGGGGAAUUUUGGACAAUGGGCGCAAGCCUGAUCCAGCCAUUCCGCGUGCAGGACGAAGGCCUUCGGGUUGUAAACUGCUUUUGUACGGAACGAAAAGGCUCUGGUUAAUACCUGGGGCUCAUGACGGUACCGUAAGAAUAAGCACCGGCUAACUACGUGCCAGCAGCCGCAGUAA